Molecule: ribosomal RNA, 380 nt
Filed under: Streptomyces sp. WPS032
Lineage: Bacteria; Bacillati; Actinomycetota; Actinomycetes; Kitasatosporales; Streptomycetaceae
Description: bacterial SSU rRNA
Rfam family: Bacterial small subunit ribosomal RNA
Source: RNAcentral
GGAUUAGUGGCGAACGGGUGAGUAACACGUGGGCAAUCUGCCCUGCACUCUGGGACAAGCCCUGGAAACGGGGUCUAAUACCGGAUACUGACCACUGGGGGCAUCCUUGGUGGUCGAAAGCUCCGGCGGUGCAGGAUGAGCCCGCGGCCUAUCAGCUUGUUGGUGAGGUAGUGGCUCACCAAGGCGACGACGGGUAGCCGGCCUGAGAGGGCGACCGGCCACACUGGGACUGAGACACGGCCCAGACUCCUACGGGAGGCAGCAGUGGGGAAUAUUGCACAAUGGGCGAAAGCCUGAUGCAGCGACGCCGCGUGAGGGAUGACGGCCUUCGGGUUGUAAACCUCUUUCAGCAGGGAAGAAGCGAAAGUGACGGGUACCUG